This 435-nucleotide ribosomal RNA is filed under the name uncultured bacterium. RNAcentral's name for it is "bacterial SSU rRNA". It matches the Rfam family "Bacterial small subunit ribosomal RNA", at positions 958 to 1392 of the family's 1533-position model. The record is from RNAcentral.
AACGCGAAGAACCUUACCAGGUCUUGACAUCCCGCUGCCCGGUGUAGAGAUACGCCUUUCCCUUCGGGGACAGCGGUGACAGGUGGUGCAUGGUUGUCGUCAGCUCGUGUCGUGAGAUGUUGGGUUAAGUCCCGCAACGAGCGCAACCCUUGAUCUUAGUUGCCAGCAUUCAGUUGGGCACUCUAAGGUGACUGCCGGUGACAAACCGGAGGAAGGUGGGGAUGACGUCAAAUCAUCAUGCCCCUUAUGACCUGGGCUACACACGUGCUACAAUGGACGGUACAAAGGGCUGCCAACCCGCGAGGGGGAGCCAAUCCCAGAAAACCGUUCUCAGUUCGGAUUGCAGGCUGCAACUCGCCUGCAUGAAGCCGGAAUCGCUAGUAAUCGUGGAUCAGCAUGCCACGGUGAAUACGUUCCCGGGCCUUGUACACACCG